This 1630-nucleotide long non-coding RNA is filed under the name Olea europaea (common olive). Its description in RNAcentral is "long non-coding RNA (OEUR_LNC002128)". The record is from RNAcentral. Lineage: Eukaryota; Viridiplantae; Streptophyta; Magnoliopsida; Lamiales; Oleaceae.
AUUUACAAACAUAGUUUACGUGCCUUCGCUCAAAAUAAUUCGACCUCAUACAAAAGAUUAUGUAAUAACUACUACUUCUACUAAUAGCUACUAAUAAGGUCGACCCCUUCCCUUCUCAAUUCACUUCAAUGAUUCCUUGCACACCUUCACGUUCACUGCAAUAUGUAAAUCUUCUUCUGCAGAGAUACAAACUUGAGAUUGAAACAUCUGUGAUAUUUGUUCAAAUGUUUCGUUCGUCGCAAAGUUAACCGAGGAAGCACUAGCUCUAGAUGAUUGGCCGCUUGAAUCUUCUUUGACAACCCACAAUUUCCAAAAUCCAAGGCGUAUUGACUCCAGUAGCUUCAAUAGUGCAUUUGUACAAAUUCUAUACAUAUGUUUGUCUGUUUAUGCAUCCAGAAAUGUAUGAAAUUAUACAAGAGAAACACAAAUACAAAUACAAAUACAAAAGUAGAUAGGAAUUUAACAAAAUUAUGCAUACAUGAGAAACACAAAUACAAAAAAUAACCAAAUAGACUGCCUCAUUACUAAACUGUUUUGAUGCACAAUUUUAGUCGCAUAUAGAAAAAUUAUACCUUGUUGCUAAAGCCCUAAAAACCUAUUUUAUUUGGGUACUUCACAAGACUUAAAACCCCAAAUUUUCACCUAUUUUUCGGAAAAUAAAUCAAAUAAAAAAAAAUUAACCAACAUCCAUAAACAAACAUGUUUGGAUGCAUAGAUACAUAACUACAAGUGUAUAGAGAGAUAAUUACAUUAACAUCGCCAAAAAAAAAAAAAAAAAAAGGAGAAGAAGAAGAAGAAGAAGCUUACAUCAUAAAAGAAAGAGGAUUAUCAGAAUUUGGUAACAGUAUCAAGAAAAUUAAAUUUUUUUUUUAAAUCAAGAAAGUUACAAAUGAAAAAUGAAAUAAAUCAAACGCAGCCCACGGAGCAGUAGUCUAAUUGGUUGCUCUCUCUCUUUCUCUAGCUUGGUUUUGGUGAGCCCACAAGAGCAAGAACAGAGGCAACCAAAAUAUUGUUCGAAGUUCGAAUCGAUCGCUCGUUCACAAUAAUGAAGCAAAAAUCCAAACUCGUGUGCAAAGAAAUUUGACCGCUAGCCAUUUAAAUGUGGUCUUCAACAUCUAAUAUAUCAAAGAUAAAAAUAACAGAGAUCCAGUAAAAUCUUCAAUUCAAUGGAAAAUAAAGAAAAAAUCACCGGUAUAUGCAUUUAUACACUUACUAGGCGGGACUAAGAUGAUGUCGAUGGAGAUUUGUGGACUUCGUAAAGAUGAGCACCGAGUGCGUUUGAGCUCGCUUGCGGCCGGAGAACUUCAAGCAUGUGCCAAUCGGAGGUUGCUUUCUCCCUUCUUGGAUUGGAAAUGGAUGGAGAUGAAAGUUAAAAAAAAUUGGGGAAAAUGAGAGGAAAUUUUCUCCCUUUCGUUGAAAUUUCAAUUGAGCCGGCCGGAGGAAAUUUUCACCCUUUCGUUUCUGUAGUUUGGUGAAGUGGGUGGAGAGAGAGAGAGAGAGAGAGAGAGAGCGCUUUGUUUUAUGAAUUAAUCAAUUUCCCUCCAUUUUGCAUUUGGUGGCUUUAUUCACUUUUUAAUGAAUUAAAUAAUUUACAGUGACCAUUUUUUAAAUCCCUGUAUCCAGUCUGUCG